This 72-nucleotide transfer RNA is filed under the name Candidatus Nomurabacteria bacterium. It matches the Rfam family "tRNA". Rfam says of the family: Transfer RNA (tRNA) molecules are approximately 80 nucleotides in length. Their secondary structure includes four short double-helical elements and three loops (D, anti-codon, and T loops). Further hydrogen bonds mediate the characteristic L-shaped molecular structure. tRNAs have two regions of fundamental functional importance: the anti-codon, which is responsible for specific mRNA codon recognition, and the 3' end, to which the tRNAs corresponding amino acid is attached (by aminoacyl-tRNA synthetases). tRNAs cope with the degeneracy of the genetic code in two manners: having more than one tRNA (with a specific anti-codon) for a particular amino acid; and 'wobble' base-pairing, i.e. permitting non-standard base-pairing at the 3rd anti-codon position. The record is from Rfam by way of RNAcentral. Lineage: Bacteria; Candidatus Nomuraibacteriota. RNAcentral also lists the same sequence under 1 other name.
GCCCUUGUAGUUCAAUGGAUAGAACAGCGGACUUCUAAGCCGUCGAUGUAGGUUCGAUUCCUACCAGGGGCA